UACGUAGGGGGCAAGCGUUGUCCGGAAUUAUUGGGCGUAAAGCGCGUGUAGGCGGCUCGGUAAGUCUGCUGUGAAAGUCCAGGGCUCAACCCUGGAACGCCGGUGGAUACUGUCGAGCUCGAGUCCGGAAGAGGCGAGUGGAAUUCCUGGUGUAGCGGUGAAAUGCGCAGAUAUCAGGAAGAACACCAAUGGCGAAGGCAGUUCUCUGGGACGGUACUGACGCUGAGACGCGAAAGCGUGGGGAGCGAACAGG
This 253-nucleotide ribosomal RNA is filed under the name uncultured bacterium. RNAcentral describes it as "partial 16S ribosomal RNA". It matches the Rfam family "Bacterial small subunit ribosomal RNA", at positions 524 to 776 of the family's 1533-position model. The record is from RNAcentral.